GACGAACGCUGGCGGCGUGCUUAACACAUGCAAGUCGAACGGAAAGGCCCUGCUUUUGUGGGGUGCUCGAGUGGCGAACGGGUGAGCAACACGUGAGUAACCUGCCCUUGACUUUGGGAUAACUUCAGGAAACUGGGGCUAAUACCGGAUAGGAGCUCCUGCUGCAUGGUGGGGGUUGGAAAGUUUCGGCGGUUGGGGAUGGACUCGCGGCUUAUCAGCUUGUUGGUGGGGUAGUGGCUUACCAAGGCUUUGACGGGUAGCCGGCCUGAGAGGGUGACCGGCCACAUUGGGACUGAGAUACGGCCCAGACUCCUACGGGAGGCAGCAGUGGGGAAUAUUGCACAAUGGGCGGAAGCCUGAUGCAGCAACGCCGCGUGCGGGAUGACGGCCUUCGGGUUGUAAACCGCUUUCGCCUGUGACGAAGCGUGAGUGACGGUAAUGGGUAAAGAAGCACCGGCUAACUACGUGCCAGCAGCCGCGGUGAUACGUAGGGUGCGAGCGUUGUCCGGAUUUAUUGGGCGUAAAGGGCUCGUAGGUGGUUGAUCGCGUCGGAAGUGUAAUCUUGGGGCUUAACCCUGAGCGUGCUUUCGAUACGGGUUGACUUGAGGAAGGUAGGGGAGAAUGGAAUUCCUGGUGGAGCGGUGGAAUGCGCAGAUAUCAGGAGGAACACCAGUGGCGAAGGCGGUUCUCUGGGCCUUUCCUGACGCUGAGGAGCGAAAGCGUGGGGAGCGAACAGGCUUAGAUACCCUGGUAGUCCACGCUGUAAACGGUGGGUACUAGGUGUGGGGUCCAUUCCACGGGUUCCGUGCCGUAGCUAACGCUUUAAGUACCCCGCCUGGGGAGUACGGCCGCAAGGCUAAAACUCAAAGGAAUUGACGGGGCCCCGCACAAGCGGCGGAGCAUGCGGAUUAAUUCGAUGCAACGCGUAGAACCUUACCUGGGUUUGACAUGGAUCGGGAGUGCUCAGAGAUGGGUGUGCCUCUUUUGGGGUCGGUUCACAGGUGGUGCAUGCCUGUCGUCAGCUCGUGUCGUGAGAUGUUGGGUUAAGUCCCGCAACGAGCGCAACCCUUGUUCACUGUUGCCAGCACGUUAUGGUGGGGACUCAGUGGAGACCGCCGGGGUCAACUCGGAGGAAGGUGGGGAUGACGUCAAGUCAUCAUGCCCCUUAUGUCCAGGGCUUCACGCAUGCUACAAUGGCCGGUACAGAGAGUGGCGAGCCUGUGAGGGUGAGCGAAUCUCGGAAAGCCGGUCUCAGUUCGGAUUGGGGUCUGCAACUCGACCUCAUGAAGUCGGAGUCGCUAGUAAUCGCAGAUCAGCAACGCUGCGGUGAAUACGUUCCCGGGGCU
RNAcentral lists this ribosomal RNA (1346 nucleotides) under uncultured bacterium. Its description in RNAcentral is "partial 16S ribosomal RNA". It matches the Rfam family "Bacterial small subunit ribosomal RNA", at positions 28 to 1381 of the family's 1533-position model. The record is from RNAcentral.